Molecule: ribosomal RNA, 208 nt
Filed under: uncultured bacterium
Lineage: Bacteria
Description: partial 16S ribosomal RNA
Rfam family: Bacterial small subunit ribosomal RNA
Source: RNAcentral
CAUGUAGGCGGAUUAAUAAGUUUGAAGUGAAAUCCUAUAGCUUAACUAUAGAACUGCUUUGAAAACUGUUAAUCUAGAAUGUGGGAGAGGUAGAUGGAAUUUCUGGUGUAGGGGUAAAAUACCGUAGAGAUCAGAAGGAAUACCGAUUGCGAAGGCGAUCUACUGGAACAUUAUUGACGCUGAGAUGCGAAAGCGUGGGGAGCAAACA